Molecule: unclassified non-coding RNA, 303 nt
Filed under: uncultured Chalastospora
Lineage: Eukaryota; Fungi; Ascomycota; Dothideomycetes; Pleosporales
Description: sequence contains ITS1
Rfam family: 5.8S ribosomal RNA (bases 1-105)
Source: RNAcentral
GAAAUGCGAUAAGUAGUGUGAAUUGCAGAAUUCAGUGAAUCAUCGAAUCUUUGAACGCACAUUGCGCCCUUUGGUAUUCCAAAGGGCAUGCCUGUUCGAGCGUCCUUUGUACCCUCAAGCCUUGCUUGGCGUUGUGCGUCUUGUCUCCAGUUCGCUGGAGACUCGCCUUAAAGUAAUUGGCAGCCGGCCUACUGGUUUCGGAGCGCAGCACAAGUCGCGCUCUCUUCCAGAGAAGGUCAGCAUCCACAAAGCCUGUUUUCAACUUUUGACCUCGGAUCAGGUAGGACUACCCGCUGAACUUAA